UCAAUCUCCCAGAAUCCCCUGGGAGAUCACGUGACUCCAACCUCAAUCUCAUGCUCCAAUCAGCACUCCAGUUCUCCAGAGUACUGAUCAGUUACACCUGUUCUUCUCUGAUUAGUUUAGUUUAAAGCCAGGGUUUGUAGCUAGUCUCAACAGUAUUGCUUCUUUUCACAGAGCUAUUGAGUAUUAUUUCUGACUGUUUAUUAGGAGUAACUCAUUCUCUGGAGUCCUUAGCUCACCAACAGGCGGAACAACAAACCCAGCUAGCACUCCUGGUUAAUAGUGUGAAGGAUCUCACCACCCAACUUCAGAGCCUCAACACCGCAGAGCCAGUGGCUAGUCCUGUUAAUCCCUCAAGUACAACUAUGAACUCGAGUGCUGUUUUUCCAGUCAGUAAACCAGACCCUAGGACGAGGCUACACUGGACAUCACACCAUCCCAUCUGGAGGAGAUAGAUGGAACACCUGCGUUUACUGUCUGUAGGGUGCUGGACUCCUGGUGACGUGGAGGUGUACUCCAGUACCUCAUGGAUUGGGAGGGAUAUGGCCCUGAGGAGCAGUGUUGACUGUCUUUGGACUCAACCACCCAGAAUCCCCUGGGAGAUCAUAUGAAUCCAGCCUCACUCUCACACUCCAAUGAGCGCUCCAGUUCCUGAUUAGUUUAGUUUAAAGCCCAGGCUUGUAGAUAGUCUCAUUGUGAGGUAUUGCUUCUUUCACAGAGCUACUGAGCAUUAUUCCUGACUGUUUAUUCCAGUUCUGUUUUGCCUUGUUUUUGACCUACCUUUUGCCUGAUCCCUUUUGGACUUUUUGCCUGGUUAUGUUUGUGUUUGUGUAUCCUGUCUUUUCUGGAUUUGACCAUUGCCUGUGACCUGACUACGAUUGUGGAUUCUGUUUGCACAAGUAAAUCCUCUCAUUCACCUUUUA
Pygocentrus nattereri (red-bellied piranha) is the source of this 920-nucleotide long non-coding RNA. RefSeq lists it as uncharacterized. The transcript is spliced from 2 exons. Lineage: Eukaryota; Metazoa; Chordata; Actinopteri; Characiformes; Serrasalmidae. The record is from RefSeq and is a predicted model, not a curated record.